AGUGAACGCUGGCGGUAGGCCUAACACAUGCAAGUCGAACGGCAGCACAGUAAGAGCUUGCUCUUACGGGUGGCGAGUGGCGGACGGGUGAGGAAUACAUCGGAAUCUACUUUUUCGUGGGGGGUAACGUAGGGAAACUUACGCUAAUACCGCAUACGACCUACGGGUGAAAGCAGGGGAUCUUCGGACCUUGCGCGAUUGAAUGAGCCGAUGUCGGAUUAGCUAGUUGGCGGGGUGAAGGCCCACCAAGGCGACGAUCCGUAGCUGGUCUGAGAGGAUGAUCAGCCACACUGGAACUGAGACACGGUCCAGACUCCUACGGGAGGCAGCAGUGGGGAAUAUUGGACAAUGGGCGCAAGCCUGAUCCAGCCAUACCGCGUGGGUGAAGAAGGCCUUCGGGUUGUAAAGCCCUUUUGUUGGGAAAGAAAAGCAGCAGGUUAAUACCCCGCUGUUCUGACGGUACCCAAAGAAUAAGCACCGGCUAACUUCGUG
This 492-nucleotide ribosomal RNA is filed under the name uncultured bacterium. RNAcentral's name for it is "partial 16S ribosomal RNA". It matches the Rfam family "Bacterial small subunit ribosomal RNA", at positions 29 to 507 of the family's 1533-position model. The record is from RNAcentral.